ACUCCAGUCUUCUUGCCUGUAGAAUUCCAUGGGAUCGCAAAGAGUCAGACACAACUGAGCAACUAACACUUUCAAUCUAUUAUAUAAUAGUAUAUACUGUAAUAUUAUACAUAAUUUAAUGAUAGUAGAUAUGUUGAAUAUGUUUAUUAAAUAAUCAAAUUAUUAACUAUCAAAUCUAAGCUUAAUGUAAAUAUUAAUACAUAUAUAUGUGAAAUCUCAGAUAGUGAUAAGUGUUAUGAAAAAAAUAUAGCAUGGAAUAAAGCAGCUAGGGGUGAGCCAGGGGUAUUAUUGUUUAUUUGUGGAUGGUGUCAGGGAGGCCACUGUGAUAAGGUGACAUCUGAGCAGAGACCUCAAGGAAGAAGGGGAGGGUUGUGCUGCUCUAGGGGAAGAACUCUCCAGGCAGAUACUCCAGGGGCAGAGUCUCUGUGUGUGUGUCUGAGGAACCUCAAGAAGGCCCCGAGGCUAGCACAGAGGGAGCAGGAAAGCAGUGUCAGCAGGUGAGGCCAGGGAGGUGACCAGCCCACGUAUGGCAUGCUGUGGACCACUGUCAGGACCUUGGCUUGUAUCUGGAAUGAGCUGAGAUGCUUUGGCUGGUUAUUACCCGAGGGGUGACAGGACCCUAUCUACUGAAAACAAAACAACACAGGGGCACUCUGAUUGCUGAGUAGAAAACAGACCCAGGGCAGCUAAACAGAGCUGAGAGACUGUUUCAGAACACUUGCUGAUAAUUCAGGCCAGAGGUGAUGCCAGCUGCUGCUGACAAGCCAAGUCCCAUGCAACCAAGAACUGACCACUGGAUUCGGCCAUGCGGAAGCUCUGGUGACAUAAUCAAGGGCGGUUUCAGGGGCGAGGAUGCAGGGCUGACCCAAGUAGUUCAAGAGAAGAUGGGAGAAGAGGAACAUGGCAGUAACAGAAGAGGGAACAUGGGGCCAAAAGAGGAUAGUGGGGGGUAGUGGUGAAUAGCAGGCUCUUCAGGUGCUGAGGACAGGAUCCCAUGAAGAGUGACUUCAUGGGAACAAAAGGAAACAGAAGCUGGAGAGAUGUAAUGGGGCUGUUCCUCUGUUCCUCUGAAGGGGCAGAGCUUAGAUAGACUCUCCCAGAGAUAGUUUGCAGAUAUGGGAGAGAAGGCAGUGUAGACGAGUGGGUGGGUAGGUGAGAUGGUAGGGUGUGAGGAAGCCCUCUUCUCACUGUCUACUUUUUCACUGGAAUAGAAAGGUCACAUUCACACAAAAUCAGCAAAGGGUGAAUUUGGAGAUUUGCAGAAAGAGGAUCUGAUCAUUUCCAGAGAAGAGCGGGUUUCCCUGAUAGCUCAGUUGGUAAAGACUCCACCUACAAUGUGGGAGACCUGGGUUCAAUCCCUGGGUUGGGAAGACCCCCUGGAGAAAGGAAUAGCUACCCACUCCAGUAUUCUGGCCUGGAGAGUUCCGUGGACUGUAUAGUUUAUGGGGUCGCAAAGAGUCAACACAACUGAGCGACUUUCACUUUCCCUUUCAGAGAGAAAAGAGGUUGUGAAACUUUCUCCUAGGAGACCAAGAGGGUGAAGGAAUCACGGAAUCCUCCUGGGGAUUUGCAGGCACACAGAGAUACUUCCUGAGUCUCAAGGCAUCAGACCAGAGCACCCAACUAAGGAAACUCGAGACCAUGAGAAGCCACUGGAAGUCUGUGAGCAGGAGAAUGACAUUGUAACAUGACCAAAGGGCCAUCAAGAAGAGCAGACUUGUGGAGGUGCUCGCCCGGUUCAGUCAGGCACAGAGAGUGAGAAAUCACAGGGCAGAGAAACCCUCUUUCUGGGUUUCAGGCAGCAAACUGGCAGAGGAGGACAUGUAAGGAACAUGUCUGCAUGCAGAUGGCAGCUCAGCUUUGGCCCCACUGUAUCCACACCCUGGGCAUACACACUUGGCAAUAUUUGGAGACAUGAGACCACAAGAUAGAAAUGUACUUAUUCUUAGAAAAGACAUUUGGAUGUGAAAAGCCAGUUCAUCUGUGCAGAUCUGGGUGAAUUACAUGGCUUGAGCCACAGCACAUGACGUUCAGUAGCUGAAGACAAACGGAGAUAAUUCUGAAGUCACUCUCAGCAGAGACAAGGUAUCUGUCGCACUGUGGAUAACAGACACCUUCAAAUGCACUCAGCCUGGUUCUCUUCCAGUUCUGUUUCAACCUACUUUCCCAGCCCCAGUCGACACCACUCUCGCGGCUGUAGCCUGAGAAAGGAAGUGACCCUCUGAGAUGAGAGGGUUUCCCUAGUGACAUCCAUCCAGCUGGCCACAGUGGGGGCUCGUCUGGGGCCCACACAGUCAGGCCAUCAGAAUGUGCCAAGAUCAGCAAUAAUAAGGUCUUUGCACAGAAUUCCUUCAUCAUGAGGGGAAAGCAGGUUGGACUGAGACAGACCUGAACCCAGCCCUCGCUUCUAACAUACUCAGCCAAUGGAACCGAACUACACUUAGAGAAUACUCUGACUGAAGAGACAGAAGGAGAGAGAAAGAGAAGAGAUAAACCAAGGUCAUGGCUGAAAAACUUCAGAUACUUUUGCAAAUCAGACCGAAGCACUAUAUCAGCUAAAAGGUCAAAGCAUCUUAUAGAUAAAGUCCCAGUGGCUUUGGUCCUGGAAAGUGGCUCCUGCCAGAAAGCUCCAUUCAGAUCUACAGAGUGAUGGCUUUUAUCUAUUUAGUCCUACACGCUCCCAAACUUUAUCAUCAUUGUCUUCUAAUUGGUCUUGAUACCAAGCUCAGGGGCCUAAUGAAAUCAGCAAGCACAACUCUGAACGGAAAGAAGAAAAUCAACUUGUGUUAAAGCAACUCUGAAUGGAAAGAAGAAAACCAACUUGUGUUUGGCAUUUGAUAAAAUACCUGUCCUAGAGAAGAUUCUUGAGAGCCCCUUGGACUGCAAGGAGAUCAAACCAGUCAAUCCUAAAGGAAAUUAAACCUGAAUAUUCAUUGGAAGGACAGAUGCUGAAGCUGAAGCUCCAAUACUUCAGCCA
Long non-coding RNA from Bubalus bubalis (water buffalo), 2977 nucleotides. RefSeq lists it as uncharacterized. Lineage: Eukaryota; Metazoa; Chordata; Mammalia; Artiodactyla; Bovidae. The transcript has 4 exons. The record is from RefSeq and is a predicted model, not a curated record.